GAUUAACGCUGGCGGCGUGCCUAACACAUGCAAGUCGUGUGGUCCGGCGCAAGUCGGACAGCGGCGAACGGCUGAGUAACACGUGGAUAACCUACCCCCGCCACGGCAAUAACUCGUCGAAAGAUGGGCUAAUCGCCGAUGGUAUUUGGUGGUGUAAUUCCAUCAAAUUAAAGGUGUUCCGCAAGGAAUGCCGGGCGGGGAAGGAUCCGCGGCCUAUCAGCUUGUUGGUGAGGUAAUGGCUCACCAAGGCGAUGACGGGUAGCUGGUCUGAGAGGAUGAUCAGCCAGAGUGGGACUGAGACACGGCCACACUCCUACGGGAGGCAGCAGUGAGGAAUCUUGCGCAAUGGGCGAAAGCCUGACGCAGCGACGCCGCGUGGAGGAAGAAGCCUUUCGAGGUGUAAACUCCUUUUAUCGCUGAAAAAUUCUGAUGGUAAGCGAUGAAUAAGUCUCGGCUAACUACGUGCCAGCAGCCGCGGUAAUACGUAGGAGGCAAGCGUUAUCCGGAUUUACUGGGCGUAAAGAGUACGUAGGUGCCCGCCCCAAUUUUCUGUUAAAUUUUCGGGCUCAACUCGAAAACUGCAGAAAAUAUUAGGCGGGUUGAGACCAGAAGGGGCAGGCGGAAUUCCUGGUGUAGGGGUGAAAUCCGUUGAUAUCAGGAAGAACACCAAUGGCGAAGGCAGCCUGCUAGUCUGGUUCUGACACUGAGGUACGAAAGCGUGGGGAGCGAAAGGGAUUAGAUACCCCUGUAGUCCACGCCGUAAACGAUGCUGGCUAGGUAUCGGAAGCAUCGACCCUUCUUGUUCCGUAGCUAACGCGUUAAGCCAGCCGCCUGGGAAGUACGGCCGCUAGGCUAAAACUCAAAGGAAUUGACGGGGGCUCGCACAAGCGGUGGAGCAUCUGGCUUAAUUCGACAAUAAGCGAAGAACCUUACCAGGCCUUGACAUCCCGCGAACCCCGCAGAAAUGCGGGGGUGCCCGCAAGGGAGCGCGGAGACAGGUGCUGCAUGGUCGUCGUCAGCUCGUGUCGUGAGAUGUUGGGUUAAGUCCCGCAACGAGCGCAACCCUCAUCCCGUGUUAAAUCUGUCACGGGAGACUGCCCCGGUUAACGGGGAGGAAGGCGGGGAUGACGUCAGAUCAGCAUGGUUUUUACGGCCUGGGCAGCACAGGUGCUACAAUGGCCCAGACAAAGGGUGGCUAGGCCGUAAGGUGGAGCUAAUCCCAUCAAACUGGGUCCCAGUUCGGAUUGAGGUCUGCAACUUGACCUCAUGAAGCUGGAAUCGCUAGUAACCGUGGGUCAGCUAUACCACGGUGAAUACGUUCCCGAGCCUUGUACACACCGCCCGUCAAGUGAGCCGAGUCGACAGCGCCCGAAGCC
RNAcentral lists this ribosomal RNA (1376 nucleotides) under uncultured bacterium. RNAcentral describes it as "16S ribosomal RNA". It matches the Rfam family "Bacterial small subunit ribosomal RNA". The record is from RNAcentral.